This 510-nucleotide ribosomal RNA is filed under the name Obolodiplosis robiniae (locust gall midge). RNAcentral's name for it is "partial large subunit ribosomal RNA". The stretch from base 1 to 150 matches the Rfam family "Archaeal large subunit ribosomal RNA", at positions 1889 to 2085 of the family's 2987-position model. The record is from RNAcentral. Lineage: Eukaryota; Metazoa; Arthropoda; Insecta; Diptera; Cecidomyiidae.
CGCCUGUUUAUUAAAAACAUGGUUUUUAAAUUUAAUUAAAAAUUUAACCUGCCCAUUGAUAUUAAUUAAAAGGCCGCAGUACUUUGACUGUGCUAAGGUAGCAUAAUCAUUAGAUUUUUAAUUGAAAUCUAGAAUGAAAGGUUGGAUGAGAUAUAAGCUUUUUUUUAUAAAAUAUUUGAAUUUUAUUUUUUAGUCAAAAAGCUAAAUUCAUUAAAUGGGACGAGAAGACCCUAUAGAAUUUUAUAAAUAAUAAUUUAUAAUUAAUUUUUAAUUAAGUUUUAAAUUUUAAUUUAUUUUAUUGGGGAGAUAUUUAAAUUUAAAAAACUUUAAUUUAAUUUAAUCAUUAAUUUUUGUAUAAUUGAUCUUUUUUUAAAGAUUAAAAAUUUAAAUUACCUUAGGGAUAACAGCAUAAUAAUUUUAAGGAGUUCUUAUUUUUAAAAUAGUUUAUGACCUCGAUGUUGGAUUAAAUUAAUUUUUAUAUGUAGAUAUAUGAAAAAUAAGUCUGUUCGA